This 411-nucleotide ribosomal RNA is filed under the name uncultured microorganism. RNAcentral's name for it is "bacterial SSU rRNA". It matches the Rfam family "Bacterial small subunit ribosomal RNA", at positions 9 to 423 of the family's 1533-position model. The record is from RNAcentral.
GAGUUUGAUCGUGGCUCAGAUUGAACGCUGGCGGCAUGCCUUACACAUGCAAGUCGAACGGUAACAGGUCUUCGGACGCUGACGAGUGGCGAACGGGUGAGUAAUACAUCGGAACGUGCCCAGUCGUGGGGGAUAACUACUCGAAAGAGUAGCUAAUACCGCAUACGAUCUGAGGAUGAAAGCGGGGGACCUUCGGGCCUCGCGCGAUUGGAGCGGCCGAUGGCAGAUUAGGUAGCUGGUGGGGAUAAAAGCUUACCAAGCCGACGAUCUGUAGCUGGUCUGAGAGGACGACCAGCCACACUGGGACUGAGACACGGCCCAGACUCCUACGGGAGGCAGCAGUGGGGAAUUUUGGACAAUGGGCGAAAGCCUGAUCCAGCAAUGCCGCGUGCAGGAUGAAAGGCCUCGGUU